Small nucleolar RNA from Phyllostomus discolor (pale spear-nosed bat), 117 nucleotides. RefSeq annotates it as small nucleolar RNA SNORA40. The transcript has a single exon. The record is from RefSeq and is a predicted model, not a curated record. NCBI's taxonomy places the organism in Eukaryota, Metazoa, Chordata, Mammalia, Chiroptera, Phyllostomidae.
AGCACUUGUGUUUGUUUUUGCUUAAUUUGUGGGCAAAGACUAUAUAUAGGUGUGGAAAAUAAAUCCUCCUUUGCAGCCCAGAACUCAUUGUUUGGUAUACAUAGAAGAAGGAACAUG